This 497-nucleotide ribosomal RNA is filed under the name uncultured bacterium. Its description in RNAcentral is "bacterial SSU rRNA". It matches the Rfam family "Bacterial small subunit ribosomal RNA", at positions 29 to 520 of the family's 1533-position model. The record is from RNAcentral.
AAUGAACGCUGGCGGCGCGCCUAAUACAUGCAAGUCGAGCGAGAAGACGUAGCAAUACGUUUGUAAAGCGGCGAACGGGUGAGGAAUACAUGGGUAACCUACCCUCGAGUGGGGAAUAACUAGCCGAAAGGUUAGCUAAUACCGCGUACGCUCCUUGGACCUCGGUUCAGGGAGGAAAGCGAUACCGUGGGUAUCGCGCUCUUGGUUGGGCUCAUGUCCUAUCAGCUUGUUGGUGAGGAACGGCUCACCAAGGCUUCGACGGGUAGCUGGUCUGAGAGGACGAUCAGCCACACUGGCACUGCGACACGGGCCAGACUCCUACGGGAGGCAGCAGUAAGGAAUAUUGCGCAAUGGGCGAAAGCCUGACGCAGCGACGCCGCGUGGGGGAUGAAGGUCUUCGGAUUGUAAACCCCUUUCGGGAGGGAAGAUGGAACGAGCAAUCGUUCGGACGGUACCUCCAGAAGCAGCCACGGCUAACUUCGUGCCAGCAGCCGCAG